AGAGUUUGAUCAUGGCUCAGGAUGAACGCUAGCGGCAGGCUUAAUACAUGCAAGUCGAGGGGCAGCACGGGUAGCAAUAUCUGGUGGCGACCGGCAAACGGGUGCGGAACACGUACAGAACCUUCCUUUAAGCGGGGAAUAGCCCGGAGAAAUUCGGAUUAAUACCCCAUAGUAUUGUUGGGUGGCAUCACCUGAUAAUUAAAGAUUUAUCACUUAAAGAUGGCUGUGCGGCUGAUUAGGUAGUUGGUGUAGGUAACGGCUCACCAAGCCUACGAUCAGUAACUGGUGUGAGAGCACGACCAGUCACACGGGCACUGAGACACGGGCCCGACUCCUACGGGAGGCAGCAGUAAGGAAUAUUGGUCAAUGGACGCAAGUCUGAACCAGCCAUGCCGCGUGAAGGAUGAAGGUCCUCUGGAUUGUAAACUUCUUUUAUAGGGGAAGAAACCCAUUUUUUCUAAAGUGGUUGACGGUACCCUGGGAAUAAGCACCGGCUAACUCCGUGCCAGCAGCCGCGGUAAUACGGAGGGUGCAAGCGUUAUCCGGAUUCACUGGGUUUAAAGGGUGCGCAGGCGGAUAUGUAAGUCAGUGGUGAAAUCUUUGGGCUUAACCCGAAAAUUGCCAUUGAUACUAUAUAUCUUGAAUGCUGUGGAGGUAAGCGGAACAUGUCUGUAGCGGUGAAAUGCUUAGAGAUGACAUAGAACACCUAUUGCGAAGGCAGCUUACUACGCAGAUAUUGACGCUCAUGCACGAAAGCGUGGGGAUCAAACAGGAUUAGAUACCCUAGUAGUCC
RNAcentral lists this ribosomal RNA (793 nucleotides) under uncultured bacterium. Its description in RNAcentral is "bacterial SSU rRNA". It matches the Rfam family "Bacterial small subunit ribosomal RNA", at positions 8 to 796 of the family's 1533-position model. The record is from RNAcentral.